UGGACUUUAUUUGGGAGACGUGGAGUGGAUAAAUAAAGGCACAGUGUCAGAAGUGUUUUAUCCCAUGGUUGUAUCUCUAGGCCGUUUUAUUUCCUGGCCAAAGACAGGGAAAGGCAUGCAGUGUGUGUCUAGGUUGAUUCAGAGCUGAGCUGAAUAGACUGAUAAAUCUGCCCGACCUCCUGCCUGGGGAACCGAGGUAACAGCUGCGUAGACAUUAACACACCGGGAAACAGUCUACUCCCUAGCACUGAGUGAAGACCCAUGGAAAAGACAUGGGCAGCUGAAUCUACUGUAGCCAUUUCUGACUCUGCAAGACUGUCAAGCUCACCACUGAAUAAUAUAAAACCUGCAUUUGCCAAAUCUCUCGCUUACAUGCCAGAUGGAGGAAAACUGCCACCGUGUCUGAUUUGUAAGCUCGAGUAUCUGAUCAGAGGGAAAAAAAAUCAUUAUACUUGUGACGAAGAAUGGAAAGAACCAUAUCAUGAUCCACGGAGGGUGAACUUAUGGAGGAAGAAAAAAAGAGGAA
Molecule: long non-coding RNA, 526 nt
Organism: Physeter macrocephalus (sperm whale)
Lineage: Eukaryota; Metazoa; Chordata; Mammalia; Artiodactyla; Physeteridae
Exons: 3
Source: RefSeq, a predicted model, not a curated record